CCAUAUCGUUCGCUUAAAUCUCGACUUCAAACGAAUAAAUGCGAAGGCAUCCGAAAGCCGACCGCGCCAUGCCUCCGGGCGUUCAGCGGCUCGAGGGAUUUGGACCGGGGCUGUCGACUAAAAACUGCGUCUCCAGUAUAGCAAACCGUAGAAUAAACAAAUUUAUCUUGGUAACUCUGGUGGAAAUGAGACUUAUAGUCAUCUUCGAGUACAUAAUAAAAAUUAAGUAUUGUUUAUGUCAACAAAGGAAGAAUCUUCGUUAAAUUGAUGACACGGUUGAAUACUUUUAAAACAUUAUCUACAAACUGUCAAAUAUCUACAAACUUGUCUAAAUUUGUCUUUAAAAUA
Molecule: long non-coding RNA, 348 nt
Organism: Aethina tumida (small hive beetle)
Lineage: Eukaryota; Metazoa; Arthropoda; Insecta; Coleoptera; Nitidulidae
Exons: 2
Source: RefSeq, a predicted model, not a curated record